RNAcentral lists this ribosomal RNA (469 nucleotides) under uncultured bacterium. Its description in RNAcentral is "partial 16S ribosomal RNA". It matches the Rfam family "Bacterial small subunit ribosomal RNA", at positions 28 to 507 of the family's 1533-position model. The record is from RNAcentral.
AACGAACGUUGGCGGCGUGGAUUAGGCAUGCAAGUCGAACGCUAAUCCCUGGUCAACUGGGGAGGAGAGUGGCGAAAGGGGCAGUAAGGCGUGGGUAACCUACCCUCCGGGCCGGGAUAGCUUCGGGAAACUGAAGGUAAUACCGGGCGACGCAGCGAGAUCGCAUGGUCUUGCUGCCAAAGGUCCGCCUCCGGGGGAGGGGCUCACGUGGUAUUAGCUAGACGGCGGGGUAACGGCCCACCGUGGACAAGAUGCCUAGCAGGUGUGAGAGCACGGCCUGCGCCACUGGAACUGAGACACUGGCCAGACCCCGACGGGUGGCUGCAGUCGAGGAUCUGCGGCAAUGGGCGAAAGCCUGAACGCGCGACGCCGCGUGUGCGAUGAAGGCCUUCGGGUUGUAAAGCACUGUCGAGGGGGAGGAAGCCGCAAGGUUGACCUAUCCCUGGAGGAAGCACGGGCUAAGUUCGUG